GACGAACGCUGGCGGCGUGCUUAACACAUGCAAGUCGAACGGAAAGGCCCUGCUUUUGUGGGGUGCUCGAGUGGCGAACGGGUGAGUAACACGUGGGUAACCUGCCCUUGACUUUGGGAUAACUUCAGGAAACUGGGGCUAAUACCGGAUAGGAGCUCCUGCUGCAUGGUGGGGGUUGGAAAGUUUCGGCGGUUGGGGAUGGACUCGCGGCUUAUCAGCUUGUUGGUGGGGUAGUGGCUUACCAAGGCUUUGACGGGUAGCCGGCCUGAGAGGGUGACCGGCCACAUUGGGACUGAGAUACGGCCCAGACUCCUACGGGAGGCAGAAGUGGGGAAUAUUGCACAAUGGGCGGAAGCCUGAUGCAGCAACGCCGCGUGCGGUAUGACGGCCUUCGGGUUGUAAACCGCUUUCGCCUGUGACGAAGCGUGAGUGACGGUAAUGGGUAAAGAAGCACCGGCUAACUACGUG
This 468-nucleotide ribosomal RNA is filed under the name uncultured bacterium. RNAcentral describes it as "partial 16S ribosomal RNA". It matches the Rfam family "Bacterial small subunit ribosomal RNA", at positions 28 to 507 of the family's 1533-position model. The record is from RNAcentral.